AUUGAACGCUGGCGGCAGGCCUAACACAUGCAAGUCGAGCGAGCGGCGGACGGGUGAGUACUGGCUGGGAAACUGCCGGAUGGAGGGGGAUAACUACUGGCAACGGUAGCUAAUACCGCAUACCAUCAGAUGUGCCCAGAUGGGAUUUGCUAGUCGGUGGGGUAACGGCUCACCUAGGCGACGAUCCAUAGCUGGUCUGAUCGGAUGACCAGCCGCACUGGAACUGAGACACGGUCCAGACUCCUACGGGAGGCAGCGGUGGGGAAUAUUGCGCAAUGGGCGCAAGCCUGAUGCAGCAAUGCCGCGUGUGUGAAGAAGGCCUUCGGGUUGUAAAGCACUUUCGGCGGGGAGGCGUUACCCGGAGAAGAAGCACCGGCUAACUCCGUGCCAGCAGCCGCGGUAAUUC
Molecule: ribosomal RNA, 406 nt
Filed under: uncultured bacterium
Lineage: Bacteria
Description: partial 16S ribosomal RNA
Rfam family: Bacterial small subunit ribosomal RNA
Source: RNAcentral